CGAAAAGGCAGACAGCUGGUGGCACCUUGUGCCUGUUGUUUGAGCAGGCCUUCCCCUUGGUUUAUUGUGCAGAAGAGAGGAGCAAAGUCGAAGGACCAAUUGCUUGUGCUGUAAUUUAUUGCAUAUGGAAAGGCAGCAAGGGGAUUUUUUAGCAGCAGAACGACCUGGCAGCUGGAUCACCGUGGUGGGGCAGGCACAGGCUCUGUGCUGAUUCUACUGUACUGACUGGUCUUAGCACAACUCCUCCCUGCCCAGAAUCCAAGACCUGGCCUCCAUCUGUGCUGUCAAGUUCAUAAGUGACAAAAGUGUUUAACAGUUCACUUAAAAAUUGA
This is a long non-coding RNA of Serinus canaria (Common canary), 332 nucleotides long. RefSeq lists it as uncharacterized. The transcript is spliced from 2 exons. Lineage: Eukaryota; Metazoa; Chordata; Aves; Passeriformes; Fringillidae. The record is from RefSeq and is a predicted model, not a curated record.